GGCUUAGAGUUUGAUCAUGGCUCAGGAUGAACGCUGGCGGCGUGCCUAACACAUGCAAGUCGAGCGAAGCACUUUACUUUGAGAUCUUCGGAAGGAUAAGUUUUGUGACUGAGCGGCGGACGGGUGAGUAACGCGUGGGUAACCUGCCUCAUACAGGGGGAUAACAGUUAGAAAUGACUGCUAAUACCGCAUAAGACCACAGCACCGCAUGGUGCAGGGGCAAAAACUCCGGUGGUAUGAGAUGGACCCGCGUCUGAUUAGCUAGUUGGUAAGGUAACGGCUUACCAAGGCAACGAUCAGUAGCCGACCUGAGAGGGUGACCGGCCACAUUGGGACUGAGACACGGCCCAAACUCCUACGGGAGGCAGCAGUGGGGAAUAUUGCACAAUGGGGGAAACCCUGAUGCAGCGACGCCGCGUGAGCGAAGAAGUAUUUCGGUAUGUAAAGCUCUAUCAGCAGGGAAGAAACUGACGGUACCUGACUAAGAAGCACCGGCUAAAUACGUGCCAGCAGCCGCGGUAAUACGUAUGGUGCAAGCGUUAUCCGGAUUUACUGGGUGUAAAGGGAGCGUAGACGGAUAGGCAAGUCUGGAGUGAAAGCCCGGGGCUCAACCCCGGGACUGCUUUGGAAACUGUUUAUCUAGAGUGCUGGAGAGGUAAGUG
RNAcentral lists this ribosomal RNA (662 nucleotides) under uncultured organism. RNAcentral's name for it is "bacterial SSU rRNA". It matches the Rfam family "Bacterial small subunit ribosomal RNA", at positions 1 to 663 of the family's 1533-position model. The record is from RNAcentral.